CGCGCUGCUGGGCCGCAUCGGCAGGCCCGUCGAGAUCGCCGACGCGGUGGCGUUCCUGGCGUCGGAGCACGC
RNAcentral lists this transfer RNA (72 nucleotides) under Mycolicibacterium chlorophenolicum. RNAcentral's name for it is "tRNA-Asp". Lineage: Bacteria; Bacillati; Actinomycetota; Actinomycetes; Mycobacteriales; Mycobacteriaceae. The record is from RNAcentral.